AGGCCGUGAUGGGGACACUUGCGUAAUAGCUCCUUGAACCUUUCCCAAGUUUCAUAUAAGGAUUCCCCGUCCUCUUGUGAGUAUGUAUUAAUUUUAGCCAUUAAUUU
Molecule: non-coding RNA, 107 nt
Organism: Helianthus annuus (common sunflower)
Lineage: Eukaryota; Viridiplantae; Streptophyta; Magnoliopsida; Asterales; Asteraceae
Source: Rfam